Molecule: long non-coding RNA, 565 nt
Organism: Daphnia magna
Lineage: Eukaryota; Metazoa; Arthropoda; Branchiopoda; Diplostraca; Daphniidae
Exons: 2
Source: RefSeq, a predicted model, not a curated record
AUUAACCAAAAUAAUUUUUCCACCUCCACGUCGUAUGCAGACGACAAUUAUGAGGUUUCCCACCCUACUUUGGCUAUGGAACUGAUUGUUCUUAAAUGGAAGACUUUCGAUGGAUCAUAUUCAUCUCUCAAGCUGUUCAGUGAUGUUUCCCCUAUGGCAAUACGAGCCGGUGUAGUAGAACCUGUCUGAUAGGUUUCUCAACGGAAUUAGAGUAGAAAAAGGUGAAGACGAACCAAAAAACAAAAACGAACAAAAAACAACGUUAACGUGUGGCACAUGUCCAACUUGUGAGGAAAGCAUUGACACAAUGAAAAAUUUCAUUUGAGUACCAUUGCCCUUUUCAUUAGUGAUUUAAACAAUUGCUACAGUCGAACAUUAAUCGUUUCGACGCACAGCUUUCUGUGAAUAUUCGAAAAAUGGUUAAGAUUUCUAACCCAGUUCCCUUAAUCCCUUUUUCUUUUUGGCAAACUAUCUUAACUCUGGAACGAUAUUCUAGAAUGAAACGUCAAUGUAUUUUUAUUUUCUAGCAAUGAAACAAAAUUGGACAUACAAAAGUGGAACGGUG